This 1288-nucleotide ribosomal RNA is filed under the name metagenome. RNAcentral describes it as "bacterial SSU rRNA". It matches the Rfam family "Bacterial small subunit ribosomal RNA", at positions 242 to 1520 of the family's 1533-position model. The record is from RNAcentral.
UAGCUAGUUGGUGAGGUAACGGCUUACCAAGGCGACGAUCUGUAGCGGGUCUGAGAGGAUGAUCCGCCACACUGGAACUGAGACACGGUCCAGACUCCUACGGGAGGCAGCAGUGGGGAAUUUUGGACAAUGGGGGCAACCCUGAUCCAGCCAUGCCGCGUGAGUGAAGAAGGCCUUCGGGUUGUAAAGCUCUUUCGGCCGGGAAGAAAUCGCAUGGGCCAAUACCCUGUGUGGAUGACGGUACCGGAAUAAGAAGCACCGGCUAACUACGUGCCAGCAGCCGCGGUAAUACGUAGGGUGCGAGCGUUAAUCGGAAUUACUGGGCGUAAAGCGUGCGCAGGCGGUUUUGUAAGACAGGCGUGAAAUCCCCGGGCUCAACCUGGGAACUGCGUUUGUGACUGCAAGGCUAGAGUACGGCAGAGGGGGGUGGAAUUCCACGUGUAGCAGUGAAAUGCGUAGAGAUGUGGAGGAACACCAAUGGCGAAGGCAGCCCCCUGGGUCGAUACUGACGCUCAUGCACGAAAGCGUGGGUAGCAAACAGGAUUAGAUACCCUGGUAGUCCACGCCCUAAACUAUGUCAACUAGGUGUUGGGUGGGUAAAACCAUUUAGUACCGUAGCUAACGCGUGGAGUUGACCGCCUGGGGAGUACGGCCGCAAGGUUAAAACUCAAAGGAAUUGACGGGGACCCGCACAAGCGGUGGAUGAUGUGGAUUAAUUCGAUGCAACGCGAAAAACCUUACCUACCCCUUGACAUGCCAGGAACUUGCCAGAGAUGGCUUGGUGCCCGAAAGGGAGCCUGGACACAGGUGCUGCAUGGCUGUCGUCAGCUCGUGUCGUGAGAUGUUGGUUUAAGUCCCGCAACGAGCGCAACCCUUGUCGUUAAUUGCCAUCAUUUAGUUGGGCACUUUAGCGAGACUGCCGGUGACAAACCGGAGGAAGGUGGGGAUGACGUCAAGUCCUCAUGGCCCUUAUGGGUAGGGCUUCACACGUCAUACAAUGGUCGGUACAGAGGGUCGCCAAGCCGCGAGGUGGAGCCAAUCCCAGAAAGCCGAUCGUAGUCCGGAUUGCAGGCUGCAACUCGCCUGCAUGAAGUCGGAAUCGCUAGUAAUCGUGGAUCAGCAUGUCACGGUGAAUACGUUCCCGGGUCUUGUACACACCGCCCGUCACACCAUGGGAGCGGGUUCCGCCAGAAGUAGGUAGCCUAACCGCAAGGAGGGCGCUUACCACGGCGGGGUUCGUGACUGGGGUGAAGUCGGAACAAGGUAGCCGUAGGGGAACCUGCGGCUG